ACUUUUAUACAAGCACCUCAUAGUAUAUAAUGCAAUACUAUUCACAGGGGCUGAUCUAACACUUAUCCACAUAUAAUCAAGGUCUGACGAAACAGGAUGGGAUCUCAGUCCUCAUCCGGGUCGUACUCAGGAUCCUCCUCGUGGUCAUCUUCUUCUCCAAAAUCUUCCUCCUUAUCUGGUUCCACAUUAGGGUUCUCCUCUUCAGAUUCCUUCUCCUCAAACUCCUCAUCA
This 231-nucleotide long non-coding RNA is filed under the name Eucalyptus grandis. RNAcentral describes it as "long non-coding RNA (EGRA_LNC004356)". The record is from RNAcentral. Lineage: Eukaryota; Viridiplantae; Streptophyta; Magnoliopsida; Myrtales; Myrtaceae.